UUCUUCCUAACAUCUUUAAAGAAUAAGGGAUGGGAUGGGUCUUAUACUCUAGUAGCCAGCUGCCAGUAGCAUAUCCCUAGUUUCAUCAUAGUCUCCAAGAGAAUAAGUAUCCAGAGAACUAUAGUAGACUCUGGGGGUGCGAGUUAAGUCUUCGAGAUCAUCAGCGGAAUCCAGAGAAUCCACUUAGAAGGUAAGGAAGCCGGGUACUAUUAGGAGUUCAUACAUAUGAGCUGUUACUUGGCUAAUAGCUUGUCGGCUUGGCUGAGUUCAAUCUAUUAUUGGAAUGAUUUGACUUCUUACUCGGUAUCAGGGAAGGGAGUGGAAAUGACAACUAUAACAUACCCGUAAUGUUGAAAUGCAGAAUUGUUGACAGCAGCCAGAGGUAUACUAUACCCAUUCUUAGGUCUAAUACAACUACUAAGCGGUCUUCUCCCCUAAGUUCAUGAGUUGUCUUAGAGCGGUGCGAGGGUGCUGUAGAGGUCGGGGCGGAGUCAAGUCUUCAUGGCGGCAGUGAGCCAUCGCUUCAACCUAAAAAGAAGGGGGGAAAGCCUAAAACUAACAAAAAGGGGGCCUAAACAUCUGCCAUUAGCAAGAGAGUAAUAAGUGUCCUAUUACUUACAAUCUAUACUAACCUCUGACUUAUACCUUCGCAUUCAAAAGGUGACCAAGACUUACCGGUUGCAACUGACUUUUGAAUAGCUUAUUCGGGAGCUAACACUGCGGAAGAUCUUUCCACUGGUUCUUAUUAUCCUACUGCUCUAACAGCUUACUUUCGCCCGAGAUACCCGCGAUCGGCAGGCUUUUAGCACCUCUAUCCUCUGCCAUGGGUAAUGCAUUCUUCCUUCCACUUGCUUGAUACCCUCGUUCGCCAACAAAUAUAUAUUCUGAUUUAAGGGAGUAGUAACACCUACUUCUAUUGAACUAAUUGAACGAAAGGGCAGGACUACCCGGACAAAUACUAUAAGCAUAAGGGAGCGGGGGAGAAAAAUACUAUAAUCAUAAGGGAGCGGGGGAGAGUUUACAGUGGAGGUCUGUUAUUCAAGUUACGCCCUGUACUUAUUACCUCUUUCGAAGGAAGGAGAUUCUUGGAAAGCCUACCCGACAACCCAACCGAAAGGAAAGUAACUAGGCAAGCAUAUACUAAUGGCCAAGACACUACUGAGGCUCUUAGCACCUUUCCUUCCCCGUUCUGAAUGAGUUUUCUCGAAGUUCGAGUCAUAUCAAAAAGAAGCAGUGCCCAGUUAUUACGAUAGGACUCGUUGGUGACUGCUUGCUCUCUUUUAUCAGUGACUUGACAACUUCAAACUAUUCCUUUCUUUCCCUUCCCUAUCCGAUAAGUUACCGGAACGCUGGUCUCCAAGACACCCAACGACUAUUAAUCAGGCUCUUUCGUAUGUGAAUAGAGUGUGGUCUUUUCCACUCCAUCAUGACUUUAUGGUUUGACUGUUUUCCUUGACCAGCAAUAAGAGCACGAAGUUGAACCCCUAUCUAUUGCGAGAGAGACUGAUGCUACUCAUGAUGAUCUCCGCAGCUUUGUCUCUUUCUCUCAAUUAAGAACUGGGUUUGGUUAGUGACCUUAGCUGGCUCAGGCUUCUUUACUUGAUGAUCUGACCUAAACACCUUACUUUAUCACUGGAAUAUCGGAUUGAGAGUCACCAACUAAUACUGAUGAAACCAGACCAAUACUUGUAAACUUCAGACUAAACUAGAGAUUCCACUCGCCCCAAAAGAAAGACAGAAAGAUAUUCUAGAUGCGCUGGCCCAUGUAUUAUGGCUCUGGACUACUGAAUUAAGGAGCAGCUAAGGGUACGAGUGAGGGUCAUCUAACUCAAAGUUGAGAGGCCCUUAUUGUAAGUUGCAGACUAUCGGGCAGAAAGAUAAGACUUUGUUUCAAUAGCCAGAGAGGGCAGGGAAGAAGAAAGGGGAGUUUCAUCCGCUAUCUUUCUUAUAUACUGGAUUUUCAACAAGGGAUGUCGCCUAUAGCCUAUAGAGCACCCAGACAAGAGUGAAAAGAGCAAG
Molecule: long non-coding RNA, 2019 nt
Filed under: Musa acuminata (dwarf banana)
Lineage: Eukaryota; Viridiplantae; Streptophyta; Magnoliopsida; Zingiberales; Musaceae
Description: long non-coding RNA (MACU_LNC006889)
Source: RNAcentral